This is a non-coding RNA of Dipodomys ordii (Ord's kangaroo rat), 65 nucleotides long. Lineage: Eukaryota; Metazoa; Chordata; Mammalia; Rodentia; Heteromyidae. The record is from Rfam.
GGUGGCUCAGCAGUAGAGUGCUUGCCUUGCAUGCAUGAGACCCUGGGUUCGAUUCCUCAGCACCA